This 497-nucleotide ribosomal RNA is filed under the name uncultured bacterium. RNAcentral's name for it is "partial 16S ribosomal RNA". It matches the Rfam family "Bacterial small subunit ribosomal RNA", at positions 28 to 507 of the family's 1533-position model. The record is from RNAcentral.
GACGAACGCUGGCGGCGUGCCUAAUACAUGCAAGUUGAGCGCUGAAGGUUGGUACUUGUACCGACUGGAUGAGCAGCGAACGGGUGAGUAACGCGUGGGGAAUCUGCCUUUGAGCGGGGGACAACAUUUGGAAACGAAUGCUAAUACCGCAUAAAAACUUUAAACACAAGUUUUAAGUUUGAAAGAUGCAAUUGCAUCACUCAAAGAUGAUCCCGCGUUGUAUUAGCUAGUUGGUGAGGUAAAGGCUCACCAAGGCGAUGAUACAUAGCCGAACUGAGAGGGUGAUCGGCCACAUUGGGACUGAGACACGGCCCAAACUCCUACGGGAGGCAGCAGUAGGGAAUCUUCGGCAAUGGACGAAAGUCUGACCGAGCAACGCCGCGUGAGUGAAGAAGGUUUUCGGAUCGUAAAAAUCUGUUGGUAGAGAAGAACGUUGGUGAGAGUGGAAAGCUCAUCAAGUGACGGUAACUACCCAGAAAGGGACGGCUAACUACGUG